GAGGGGUGCAAACGUUAUUCGGAUUUAUUGGGUGUAAAGGGUGUGUAGACGGGUUAUUAAGUUCGUUGUUAAAUCUUCUGGCCUAACCAGAAGCUCGCGAUGAAAACUAAUAGUCUUGAGGAUGGAAGAGAGAAGUGGAAUUCUCGGAGUAGCGGUAAAAUGCGUAGAUCUCGAGAGGAACACCGAUGGCGAAGGCAGCUUCUUGGUCCAUUCCUGACGUUGAAACACGAAAGCGUGGGGAGCAAACAGGAUUAGAUACCCUGGGUAGUCCACGCCGUAAACGAUGAUCACUAGAUGUUGGCCCUGUUUUGCAGGGUUAGUAUCGAAGCUAACGCGUUAAGUGAUCCACCUGGGAACUACGAUCGCAAGAUCAA
RNAcentral lists this ribosomal RNA (374 nucleotides) under uncultured organism. RNAcentral describes it as "partial 16S ribosomal RNA". It matches the Rfam family "Bacterial small subunit ribosomal RNA", at positions 527 to 897 of the family's 1533-position model. The record is from RNAcentral.